This 468-nucleotide ribosomal RNA is filed under the name uncultured bacterium. Its description in RNAcentral is "partial 16S ribosomal RNA". It matches the Rfam family "Bacterial small subunit ribosomal RNA", at positions 28 to 507 of the family's 1533-position model. The record is from RNAcentral.
GACGAACGCUGGCGGCGUGCUUAACACAUGCAAGUCGAACGGAAUGGCCCUGCUUUUGUGGGGUGCUCGAGUGGCGAACGGGUGAGUAACACGUGAGUAACCUGCCCUUGACUUUGGGAUAACUUCAGGAAACUGGGGCUAAUACCGGAUAGGAGCUCCUGCUGCAUGGUGGGGGUUGGAAAGUUUCGGCGGUUGGGGAUGGACUCGCGGCUUAUCAGCUUGUUGGUGGGGUAGUGGCUUACCAAGGCUUUGACGGGUAGCCGGCCUGAGAGGGUGACCGGCCACAUUGGGACUGAGAUACGGCCCAGACUCCUACGGGAGGCAGCAGUGGGGAAUAUUGCACAAUGGGCGGAAGCCUGAUGCAGCAACGCCGCGUGCGGGAUGACGGCCUUCGGGUUGUAAACCGCUUUCGCCUGUGACGAAGCGUGAGUGACGGUAAUGAGUAAAGAAGCACCGGCUAACUACGUG